Molecule: ribosomal RNA, 617 nt
Filed under: uncultured archaeon
Lineage: Archaea
Description: bacterial SSU rRNA
Rfam family: Archaeal small subunit ribosomal RNA
Source: RNAcentral
AGCAGGCGCGAAACCUCCGCAAUGCGCGACAGCGUGACGGGGUCACCCCGAGUGCCAUCCGCUGAGGGUGGCUUUUGCCCGGUGUAAUGAGCCGGGUGAAUAAGGGGAGGGCAAGUCUGGUGUCAGCCGCCGCGGUAAUACCAGCUCCUCGAGUGGUUGGGACGGUUAUUGGGUUUAAAGCGUUCGUAGCCGGCCGAAAAAGUUCUUCGUUAAAUCCAGCGAUCCAAUCGCUGGGCUGCGGGGAAUACUUUUCGGCUUGGGGGCGGGGGAGGUCGGCGGUAGUCUCGGGGUAGGGGCGAAAUCCUAUAAUCCCGAGAGGACCACCAGUGGCGUAGGCGGCCGACUAAAACGCGCCCGACGGUGAGGGACGAAAGCUGGGGGAGCGAACGGGAUUAGAUACCCCGGUAGUCCCAGCUGUAAACGAUGCAGGCUAGGUGUUGGGACGGCUACGAGCCGUCUCAGUGCCGCAGGGUAACCAUUAAGCCUGCCACCUGGGGAGUACGGCCGCAAGGCUGAAACUUAAAGGAAUUGGCGGGGGAGCACCACAAGGGGUGAAGCUUGCGGUUUAAUUGGAGUCAACACCGGGAACCUUACCAGGAGCGACAGUUGGAUGAAGG